CCUGUUGUCCCAGGUAACCAGAGAGGCUGAUACAGCCACUCCUGAGGGACCCUGGCCUCCAGGUCAAAGGGUGGGAGGUCUUUCUGCCCAACAGCUCUGUGGCCAGUCCUCUCCUGCUGCCCACUCACUGGUGUCAGGUGGAGCCCAGUGAUCCCCCAACCAAAAGGCACAUCCCACCCGAAAGCCAACAAGAUCCGUCCGUAGCCACUGUCCUUCAGGCCUGUCUCCCCAGCUGGCCUCCUUCCUCCCACAGCAGCAGGUGAGCCCCACAGAGCUGCUGGGGUUGGCUAUGUUGGGCAGAGUUUAGCUGGAGAGGCAGGAAGGCACUGUGGGGAGGUCCCUGUCCCAGCUCCCACCCCCCCCCCCACCCCCUGAGCCUUUAACACUCAGGAGGACCGGACUCCCUGGCUCUAGGCGGCCUUAAGCCCUGUUGGCUUCUUACUUUUUCACAGUACCCUCAGGGGUCCCUCAUCCUGAAUGUUCCUGUUUCCUAUCCUUACUGUUGCUAAAUCACGGCUGACAUUUUCCUGGCCUGGGACGGAGGCCUCAGAUCUUCAGCCAUUCCUUACAGGAAGUAAAAAGGGGAAGAGGAUAAGGAAAAGUGACCUCUCCAGAGGGAGACACUGGCCUGCGGGGGGUGGAGGUGGGGUGCAGUGGGCCAGUGCCAGUCCUGACAGCCCCCUGGUCAAGCACCUUCCCCUGGGGCACCCUUUCCUUCCCUCCCCACAGCGUCCCCCCGCCCAGGAAAGGCCAGCAAAGCUUCCUUCCUUCCUCUAAGAAGCACAUCUAUCUAGGGCAGGCUCAUCCCCGGUGGCCACACAAUGGCCCUUAUCAGCUGUGGAGUCAGGCGCAGAGACCCAGUGCACACCAAGUCUCACACAUUUCCUGUUUCCACCCAGCGGGUCAGGGCUGGGCCCAGAGGGGCCAUAUCCUGACUGGGGCCAAGAGGAGGCAAAACACUCCCCCUUCCCCUUCCCAGCCUCUCAAUCACUGCUGGACUCGCUCCUCCCAGGCCCAGAGGGGCCCCCCGACAGGAGGCAGGGGUAGGGGUGUGUGAAGACUUAAGGAGGAAGGGCAGAGAUGGGCACACAGACAAGGAUGUUCCACGAGCAGCAGGUGGAGGCAGUGGUCCCUGAGAUGGAGCGCCGGGGCUACAUGGAUCAGAAUAAGGAGAUAGACAACCAGGAUUCCUACGUGGGGAGAAGUGUCCAGGUCUUGAUCUCAUCCCUGUGUUUCUGGUCCUCCAUGACACCACAGCUGCCUGUGUAAUUUGGGAUGGACCACACCACCACUCUGAGCUGUGGCUGCCGUCUGCCAAAUGACAGCUGCCGCGUGGCAGCGGCCACGAGGCUUGUGCAUGUGAGGUGGAGAAAUCGAGACUCAGUAGGGAAGGAACUUUCCCGAAGUCACAGAAUGACUGAGUGGUGAAGUCAGGAUUCAAGGCCAGGCGGCGUGACCAGAUGGCACAAGCUCUUCAUGACCAGGCCACCCCCUCUCGGCCUCCACUUCCUUAUCCGUAAAAUGAAGGUAAUAAUAGUUACCUCACAGGUCUGCUGACACGAUUAAAUAAGAUAAAGCACACAAAAUCUUUAGCACCGUGCCUGGUACAAAAUAAGCUCUCUGUAAUCACUGGCUAUUGUGACUCUUUGUUCUCAAGAGUCAACUGAGACCCCUCUGGCCUGUUCUUUGCUUACUGGCUUCUCUGCGGAGCCCUGAGGCUGUACAGCCCUGGGAGAUAGGAGUGAUUUCCUUCCCUAGGUAACUGCGGUUGUCUCAAGACAGGCGAGCCGUGCCCAGGGAGCUACAGGGCUGUUCUCAAAGAUCGGCAGUUCUCUAAGACCAGGCCUUGCCCUCCAAGGAUGCGGCGGGGCCCAAGUCCUGGAAUGGGGGUGUGGGCAGUUGCUGUUCCGGGUUCUUCCCCCUUGAUUUUAAAAGAACCCAGAAUAGUAAAGCCUAGUCAGAUGGUUCCUGCUCUAAAACCCUUCAGGAGUCUUCACUGCCUCCAGAAUAAAGCUCAAGUCCCCAAGCACGGUUUUCCAGGAGCCUGACACCACUGUCCUACACUGUCUCCCACCACUGUCCCAGACCUGCCUACCAGGGACUCUCUGGCCUCCGAACCUUUACUCUUGCAGUCUGUGCUGCCUGGAACACCCAUCUUCACAGAGAGAGGCCCAGUGGCAAUGCUGCCUUUGUCAGAAAGCCGUCUUUGAGCUCUACUUUCUGCUUCCAAAGCAUUUUGCACCAGUGUUUUCCUUAUGUUAUGCAGUGCUGUCAUUUUCAGUUGGCAUACUGGUCUGUGUGUGAGCCUGGAAGGCAAGCACUGGCUCUCGAGAGGUCCUGCGCAGCCUCAGCCUUAGUACAGAGCCGGCACUUAGCCAGCCUUACUGCUCAUGGAACCUAAACUCAGGAAAACCCCAAACUCAACCUCUCUCCUCAGAAAUGCCCAUCUAAUCCUAACAUACACACUUUAAGAUGCUGAUAACCAGGUUGCAAGUCUACAUUUUGUCUUCUGUUUGAUUCACUUACUAUUUUAUUUUAUUUAAAGAUUUUAUUUAUU
Mustela erminea (ermine) is the source of this 2557-nucleotide long non-coding RNA. RefSeq lists it as uncharacterized. The record is from RefSeq and is a predicted model, not a curated record. The transcript has 3 exons. Lineage: Eukaryota; Metazoa; Chordata; Mammalia; Carnivora; Mustelidae.